CCUACGGGAGGCAGCAGUGGGGAAUAUUGGGCAAUGGGCGCAAGCCUGACCCAGCAACGCCGCGUGAGGGAUGAAGGUCCUCGGAUUGUAAACCUCUUUCAGCAGGGACGAAGCGAAAGUGACGGUACCUGCAGAAGAAGCACCGGCUAACUACGUGCCAGCAGCCGCGGUAAUACGUAGGGUGCAAGCGUUGUCCGGAUUUAUUGGGCGUAAAGAGCUCGUAGGCGGUUCAACACGUCGGAUGUGAAAACACGGUGCUUAACACCGUGCCUGCAUUCGAUACGGUCGAACUAGAGGAUGGCAGGGGAAACUGGAAUUCCUGGUGUAGCGGUGGAAUGCGCAGAUAUCAGGAGGAACACCGGUGGCGAAGGCGGGUUUCUGGGCCAUUACUGACGCUGAGGAGCGAAAGCGUGGGGAGCAAACAGGAUUAGAUACCCUGGUAGUCCACGCCGUAAACGGUGGGCGCUAGGUGUGGGGCACAUUCCACGUGCUCUGUGCCGCAGCAAACGCAUUAAGUGCCCCGCCUGGGGAGUACGAUCGCAAGAUUAAAACUCAAAGGAAUUGACGG
This 568-nucleotide ribosomal RNA is filed under the name uncultured Actinomycetes bacterium. Its description in RNAcentral is "bacterial SSU rRNA". It matches the Rfam family "Bacterial small subunit ribosomal RNA", at positions 338 to 916 of the family's 1533-position model. The record is from RNAcentral. Lineage: Bacteria; Bacillati; Actinomycetota; Actinomycetes.